CACUGCCGAGAAAAGCCUCUAGAUAGAAAAUAGGUGCCCGUACCGCAAACCGACACAGGUAGUCAAGAUGAGAAUUCUAAGGUGAGCGAGCGAACUCUCGUUAAGGAACUCGGCAAAAUGACCCCGUAACUUCGGGAGAAGGGGUGCUCUUUAGGGUUAACGCCCAGAAGAGCCGCAGUGAAUAGGCCCAAGCGACUGUUUAUCAAAAACACAGGUCUCUGCUAAACCGUAAGGUGAUGUAUAGGGGCUGACGCCUGCCCGGUGCUGGAAGGUUAAGAGGAGUGGUUAGCUUCUGCGAAGCUACGAAUCGAAGCCCCAGUAAACGGCGGCCGUAACUAUAACGGUCCUAAGGUAGCGAAAUUCCUUGUCGGGUAAGUUCCGACCCGCACGAAAGGCGUAACGAUUUGGGCACUGUCUCAACGAGAGACUCGGUGAAAUCAUAGUACCUGUGAAGAUGCAGGUUACCCGCGACAGGACGGAAAGACCCCGUGGAGCUUUACUGUAGCCUGAUAUUGAAAUUCGGCACAGCUUGUACAGGAUAGGUAGGAGCCUUUGAAACGUGAGCGCUAGCUUACGUGGAGGCGCUGGUGGGAUACUACCCUAGCUGUGUUGGCUUUCUAACCCGCACCACUUAUCGUGGUGGGAGACAGUGUCAGGCGGGCAGUUUGACUGGGGCGGUCGCCUCCUAAAAGGUAACGGAGGCGCUCAAAGGUUCCCUCAGAAUGGUUGGAAAUCAUUCAUAGAGUGUAAAGGCAUAAGGGAGCUUGACUGCGAGACCUACAAGUCGAGCAGGGUCGAAAGACGGACUUAGUGAUCCGGUGGUUCCGCAUGGAAGGGCCAUCGCUCAACGGAUAA
RNAcentral lists this ribosomal RNA (855 nucleotides) under Staphylococcus aureus. Its description in RNAcentral is "partial 23S ribosomal RNA". It matches the Rfam family "Bacterial large subunit ribosomal RNA", at positions 1603 to 2459 of the family's 2925-position model. Lineage: Bacteria; Bacillati; Bacillota; Bacilli; Caryophanales; Staphylococcaceae. The record is from RNAcentral.